AACUAACCUGCAGGAGAAAUGCCAUGCUGUGUGUUUGUACUACAUUUUGUCAAGCAAUGGCUGUGUGCUCACAGGUCUGUAUUAGUUGAACAUGUUAUUUAUUCCUCCACUCAUCCACUUCCUGUGCUGCCUAAUAAAGAUGAAUCAGAUCUGUUCAGUUUGGGAAUCUGCCAG
Oenanthe melanoleuca is the source of this 174-nucleotide long non-coding RNA. RefSeq lists it as uncharacterized. The transcript has 3 exons. The record is from RefSeq and is a predicted model, not a curated record. NCBI's taxonomy places the organism in Eukaryota, Metazoa, Chordata, Aves, Passeriformes, Muscicapidae.